UGGGAUAAUCAUUGAUGGUAACAAAGAUAAUGGCCCUUAGUGUGAAGUGCUCCUGUCUGUACUCAACCCACAUCUGAACCUCAUCUUCCCAAAGCUUCUGCAUAUCUUCCAUCAAUGGCUCAAGGAAAAUAUUUAUUUCGAUGCCAGGUUGCUUCGGACCUUGUAUUAGAAUGGUUAGCAAAAGAAACUUUCUCUUAUGAUAUAGCCAUGGGGGAAUGUUGUAUAUGGUCAUUAGCAGUAGCCAUGUGCUAUGCGUGCUGCUUCUUUCACCAAAUGGAUUCAUGACAUCUGUACUCAACGCGAACGGUACAUUCCUUUUUUCAUCUAAAAACUCUGGAUGAUUGGCAUCGAAAGUCCUCCACUGGCGAGCAUCAGAAG
This 378-nucleotide long non-coding RNA is filed under the name Setaria viridis. RNAcentral describes it as "long non-coding RNA (SVIR_LNC003021)". The record is from RNAcentral. Lineage: Eukaryota; Viridiplantae; Streptophyta; Magnoliopsida; Poales; Poaceae.